Long non-coding RNA from Oreochromis aureus, 326 nucleotides. RefSeq lists it as uncharacterized. The transcript is spliced from 3 exons. Lineage: Eukaryota; Metazoa; Chordata; Actinopteri; Cichliformes; Cichlidae. The record is from RefSeq and is a predicted model, not a curated record.
CAGCGUCAGACACACAGAAUAUUUUCCAAUUUAAUUUAAUCACGUAAAGCCUCUCUAGUCGAGCCAUCGCUGUUUCUGCAAGACUUGUUGUCGUCAUGUUCUUUCCCGUAUUUGAGCAGAAGUGACACUCCAGAGAAUACCGCCUUACACGCUUCGCUGGAGAGAGAGGGAGCAGGCACCGAGGAGAGAAAGGUGAGAUGCUACCCAACGGAUGAACAUCUCACCUGAAAGAUGCUUUGUAUUGGCGCUGGCGGACUUUGACCACUACAACACGAGGACCAUCUUUCUGAGUUGAGGAGAACGGGUUGUGGCCUACAGAAGCUUCA